CACUGGCCUCCAGCCUUCUGCGGGUUCUGGAGAAAGAGCAAGAAGAGCCAAGGGCAGAGCUUAGUUCUUUCCUCCUGAGCCUGUAGCUGUUCCGGGCCAGGGUCAGCUGCUCCAGCCCAGAUCGGCUUCCCAGGUCCCCGGAACCGAACACAAGGAUCUUCCAUCCAAGUCCAGCUGCCCUGGUUACCCCGCUACGGUCCUGUUCUUAGUCGUGGCUUGUCUGCCACUGUCACUGAACUCGGGUUCCCAGAAGACAGGAAUGGGGUCUUGUUCAUCUCUCCAUCUCCAGCACUCAGCAAGGUGCCUGCCAUAUAGACUGUGCUGGGUAAAUACAUCAGAAUGAACAAACUACUUUCCAAUGGACACUAUUUACACCAAAGAGACCUGUAAUUUCUUGUCUAUUGUAUAAGCAUGCCUUCAGAUGUAAUAACUUUGAAAGGGCAUAAAAUAUACAUUAAAUAAUUUGAAGUAUGCUAUUGAAA
This is a long non-coding RNA of Neofelis nebulosa (Clouded leopard), 482 nucleotides long. RefSeq lists it as uncharacterized. NCBI's taxonomy places the organism in Eukaryota, Metazoa, Chordata, Mammalia, Carnivora, Felidae. The transcript has 2 exons. The record is from RefSeq and is a predicted model, not a curated record.